Corythoichthys intestinalis (scribbled pipefish) is the source of this 1127-nucleotide long non-coding RNA. RefSeq lists it as uncharacterized. Lineage: Eukaryota; Metazoa; Chordata; Actinopteri; Syngnathiformes; Syngnathidae. The transcript is spliced from 3 exons. The record is from RefSeq and is a predicted model, not a curated record.
UUUCAUAUGCGUACUGACACUCCACUAGAGUGCAGUGCUACGGCCACUUGUCUUCACGUCAGUCUGCUCUUCUAAAGGUUCACGAAAGGACGUCAGCAUGGUGAAAUGUGCUUUUAGAACUUGUGGAAACAUACAGAAGAAAUUGACAAAAGAAAGUGUCCACCGCUUCCCUGUGAAGAACGAGGAACUAUAUAAACUUUGGUUACUCUCUGCUGGAUAUGUCAUUCACACACCGGUGGAAAAAGGACUAAAAUGGCGAAUUUGCAGCAAGCAUUUCGCAACAACCGAUAUCAGGAAAACAUUUUGUGGCUAUUCUCUCCUGAAACCUAAUGCUGUGCCUUCGACUGCCCAAACAGCUUCAAAAUCUUCUGAUAAACAGGUAAGAUCUGCUGUACCACAGUCCACGCCAGUGAAGGAUACCACAUCAACAUCAGGCCAGCCGAGGACAAUUCAACAAUCAUCACGAGUGACCUGGAGGUAUACCACAGUGCGAUGCUGAAGUACACCCAAAAGAGGCUCCACUUUGUCUAUAACUCCAUGAAGGCAAGGACACUGAUGUCUGUUAUGGACCACAAUGAAAAUGUCAGGCGCCAGCAACAGAGGAGCGCUUACUCAUACGUCAUGGACCAAAUUGAAAUCUGUCAACAUUUGUCCCAUUACAAUUGCACUCUACCUUUCUUAUCGUGUACAUAUCUCUAUCAAAUUUACUCUAUUAGGCACUUUGAAAUACAGCUUGGAGUUUCCAAAGCAAACAAAAAGAUGGGUUGCCCGGAGCUGUUACGAGCCAACAACGCAGACAUUCAGAGAGAAUUUGGUGGAGCGUGUCCUGGAAAGACGGCAGGAUUCAUCAUUAAAGUUUGCUGAGCCAGACUUCUAUUUCAAGCCUCCAACUACUACUGUAUUCCACCGAACAUUGUAAACAUCGAAAGGCCUGACAAAGAAAAAGUUAUUUUACAACAUGUCAGUCGCUUUAAAAAAUAAGCAGGCAGACAUUUUCCUUUUUUUUUUUUAAUAGAUAUUUUAUAAUGUAGAUAUUUUUGAAUGUACGACAAUAAAAUAAAAUAAAAAAACACACACACAUAUUGUAUAAUUUGUGAAAUGUGAAGGUUUAAAAGAUAAAACGUUUC